UGUGUCAUACGAGACUGCCGGUAAAAGCCGGAGGAAGGUGAGGAUGAUGUCAAGUCAGCAUGACCUUUAUAUCCAGGGCUACACACACGCUACAAUGGUCUGUACAAUGGGUAGCCAAGCCGCGAGGCGAGCAUCCUGAAAGCAGGCCUCAGUUCAGAUUGCAGUCUGCAACUCGACUGCAUGAAGCCGGAGUUGCUAGUAACCGCAGGUCAGCAAUACUGCGGUGAAUACGUUCCCGGGUCUU
RNAcentral lists this ribosomal RNA (244 nucleotides) under uncultured Anaerolineaceae bacterium. RNAcentral's name for it is "partial 16S ribosomal RNA". It matches the Rfam family "Bacterial small subunit ribosomal RNA", at positions 1132 to 1382 of the family's 1533-position model. Lineage: Bacteria; Bacillati; Chloroflexota; Anaerolineae; Anaerolineales; Anaerolineaceae. The record is from RNAcentral.